This 253-nucleotide ribosomal RNA is filed under the name uncultured bacterium. RNAcentral describes it as "partial 16S ribosomal RNA". It matches the Rfam family "Bacterial small subunit ribosomal RNA", at positions 524 to 776 of the family's 1533-position model. The record is from RNAcentral.
UACGUAGGGGGCAAGCGUUGUCCGGAUUUAUUGGGCGUAAAGAGCGUGUAGGCGGCCAUGUAGGUCCGUUGUGAAAACUCGAGGCUCAACCUCGAGACGCCGAUGGAAACCAUGUGGCUAGAGUCCGGAAGAGGAGAAUGGAAUUCCUGGUGUAGCGGUGAAAUGCGCAGAUAUCAGGAAGAACACCCGUGGCUAAGGCGGCUCUCUAGUACGGUACUGACGCUGAGACGCGAAAGCGUGGGGAGCGAACAGG